CGUUAUUAUGAGAGUGAAGGUGGACGUGCUGCUACUCCCCUCAUUCCCAACAUGAAUCAAGUACCUUCAUCGAAGAAGAAGAAAUGUACUAGGCAUGAUCUGGAGUGUAGCCACCUGCUAGCGGGCAUAAAACUUAGUACAAAUAUUUCACAAACAUUUGCCAUCAAUCAACAAAACACCCCUACACUUGAAACCAAGACCCAGUGGAAAGACUCCCACCCUGAACCACAUGCCACACAGCAGCAACACUGUUUGUUAAUUUUGUAUCUUUAAAAUUAAAACAGCGGUGAUAUCAAACAAAUACUCUAGGAGUAUCUACAUAAAAUACUCUACAACUUCAGUAUUCAAUAGAUAAUUAAAUUCUGCCAUCUACAAGUUCUAAAACAUCUGACAAGAUAACUGACUGAAUCUGUUUUAGACAGCAGUAUGGUUAACUUUAAAAUUCGAUAUCUCCCAAACUACUGAACCAAAAAUUAUGAAAUUCUGCUGGAAGUAAGAACUUUUAUCCCUCUACAAAAGUCUCCAUAGUUGGAAGAGCCAAUUCGACCAUUUACUAGAUGAAACCCACCAGUGAACAGACCCACUCAUUUUUGUCAGGUUAACAGGAACAGCCACAGUAAAACAAACAUAACUGGAGUUUCACAAAUCAUAUGAAUGCACUCUUUAACAAUCUGGAAAGCUUAUGAAAUUAUCUACAACUUCUUUUACCAACUCACAGUUUAAUUCUGUUGAUAAAAUUGCCUAACUCUUAAGAGAACAGAUUCUGCACAGAAUUAUGAGACUGAAAAACUGCUAUAAUGAAACUGCCAUAACUUUCUGUUCUGAUGUCCGAUUGAGAUGUUCUUCGCGGCCACGGAAAGAUCUACAACUUAUCUACGACUCAUAUAUAAACUUUUUAUUUUUUUGAGGCCACUAAGACCACGGAAAACUGGCAUGAACAGAAACUGUCGAAUCUGCCAUUCUGCAGAAAUUAAAUUCGAGAUCAAAACCUAACCCCACAUCUAAUCCAACCUCUAAUUCUUCAAUCCACAUGAUCCACAACCUCUAAAAACACAUAAUUAUAUGGAGGAACAAGGAUCCCAUCCUUACCUAGAGUUUCCCCAAGAAAAUCUACAAUAGAUGGGGGGGGUAGAACAUCUCCUUGAUCCUCUCUUCCUCUUCAAUCCAUCUUGCUCCUCCUCUUCUCGAUCCUUGCUGCGUGAGGGAGGGGAAGAUCUAUGGAGGAGGAAGAAAUGGUGGGCGGCUGCCAUGGGAGAAGAGGGGACGCCCAACCAAGGGAAAAAUGGGGGAGGGUGGCGGCCAAGAGAGGGGGGGUGGAGGGAAAAGGGGUGGCCCCCCUAGGGUUUUGUGGGAGAAAAGAACCGACGCCCCAGAUGACUUUUGCCUUUGCAUCCAACGGAUCACAACCCUUUCCCACAUCCACGCACCGAAGAUCAACUUUUAGACAACAUUUUUUUGGGAUAUUACACUCUACCCCCCUUAAAAAGAAUUCGUCCUCGAAUUCGGCCACUCCAAGCAAAACACCCAAGGUACCCCAUAUAGCACCACCAUUCAAAACAUGGGUCCAUUAUUGGUCUUAAUUAACACAAGAACUUCUACCUUGGACUAAUUGUCUAAGGAAACUACACAACCUGACAUCAAGCAUGAAACAACAUGCAAUGAAGCUCAAAGCAAGUCAUAGAUGCAAUCAACACUACAAUUUCACACCAUCAAAUUGGGACGCAACUAUACAUCAACAUCAAUGUCUUAAGACAACACUCUUUUAUGAAGGGGUAAUAUGCACUAAGCACAACCCUUACCAACUUCAAUAAUUAAUUUUAAUUAAAUGGUGAAACAUCCACACCCGACGAAUGUAUAAGAAGAUCAAACACCUCACCUCAAAGCACCACGAAACAAGUAGUUCUAUUGAAACAAAACUCCUAAUCUUCCUAAACCUUAUUCUUGCCAUCAUGAAAAGAUAAUCAUGUAAUCUAACAUUCUUUGCACCCCACAAAAGGGAGAAAAUCUACAGAACUAAUGGAGCAAUAAAGCCAACAAGAAGCGAAUAACAUUCUGCGCGGCAUAGGUCAUCGAAGAAAUGCCAAAAGCUUCACAAAGAGCACUGACAGCACAAUAACACAAUACUUGGUUAACCAAUAACAACUCAACUAAGAAAAAUAUCCAAACCAGUGAGGUUAACCUACACAUAAUAUAAGUUUUCAUCUACUGUAGUUCAUAAACUUACAUUUCAUUCUAUCAUACGAUGCACUCAAAGUACCAGACAUACAAAGUCAAUAAUAACCCCUAAUCCUUCACACAUUUGACAAACAUAUUAAGCUGAUGUAAAAACCACAUCAUCUAGGAGUAGGUGACUAGCCACACCCAACCAACUCUAGGCUAGGCAAUGACUUCCUUCAAACCAAUAGAUAGGUGGUCUAAAAAAAAUGGCUCCACAAGCAUGCAUCGAAAAGGGAACCAUCAGAUCCUCAAUGUAUCAAUACAUAAUCAAUGGAUCAAGAGAAUCAAAGAUUUAUUCUACAAUUAGUAUGACUAACAGGCAACCACUUUAAACCACAUCUAGGCUUUGUGGCAACUAAAACACACAAUAGAAGAAAGACAUGUAAGCCAUUCUGGCUAUGAAAAGACUUCCCCCAAAAAUCCAUAUAAAGUACCAAUAUUCAUUUCUUUCAGAACUGGUUUCUCAACAUAAACAAUCAUUCUUUGCAAUGAUAGUUGGAGCUAUCCACCAACCGCUCAACAACUUAAAUUCAAAUUGAUGAUUACCUUGUACCCCAAAACAUGCAAUUCACACUCCUCUUAGAAACAUCCACAAUCAAGCAUAUAUAACAAUAUUAUUGUAAUAAAACUCAACCAUGAAAAACAUGGUGAAAACAACAUAGGCAUACUUGUAUAUCACAAGCAUAAUAACAACUUCAUUCUCACAAAUGACCAGCGAUAUCUAUCGCAUUAAUAAAACAAUAUCAAAAUUUCAGAAAUAAAUUAUAUCAAGCAUUAAGCCAUAAACAACUUACCACAUAACCGUAAAGGAAUAGGGAGGGGUGAGGUUAUUGUCAUCUGCACUUCAAAGACACUAACAUAUAUCAAAGAUAUUUAAACCCAUACCCUUCCUAUAUGUGCGAGUGUGUCAAAUUUAUCUUCAAAUUGCCAAGAAUCUAAAGCCUAUGCUUUGAUACCAACUGUAACACCCCAGGAUCCCCAAACAUCCUGAAAUGCUACUAAACUACACAACUAACAUUCAUAUAUAAAAUUUUGACAGCAUCUCCUUUGAAAAUUUGCAUAAACGUGGAAGCAACAGAGUAUAAGCAGAUAUCAUGAUAAGAAAACAUACUAGACAUUAAUAAUCGGCUAGCAAUGGGAAGAUAACCAUAACGACAUGAAUUGAAUUAACUAGUGUGCAUGACUAGUUAAAGACAAACAUCCUUUGACAAGAAGUUUCUAAUUAAAUCAUGGUUGUGCCUGGGCAGCGUUAUUAUGAGAGUGAAGGUGGACGUGCUGCUACUUCCCUCAUUCCCAACAUGAAUCAAGUACCUUCAUCGAAGAAGAAGAAAUGUACUAGGCAUGAUCUGGAGUGUAGCCACCUGCUAGCGGGCAUAAAACUUAGUACAAAUAUUUCACAAACAUUUGCCAUCAAUCAACAAAACACCCCUACACUUGAAACCAAGACCCAGUGGAAAGACUCCCACCCUGAACCACAUGCCACACAGCAGCAACACUGUUUGU
RNAcentral lists this long non-coding RNA (3720 nucleotides) under Zea mays. RNAcentral describes it as "long non-coding RNA (ZMAY_LNC000075)". The record is from RNAcentral. Lineage: Eukaryota; Viridiplantae; Streptophyta; Magnoliopsida; Poales; Poaceae.